CAUCGUUUUUCGAUUAUGGUGGAAAAUUUAACCUGCCCACUGAGGUUUUAAAGGGCCGCGGUAUUUUGACCGUGCAAAGGUAGCAUAAUAAUUAGUUUUUUGAUUGGAAGCUGGAAUGAAUGGUUGGACGAGAAAAUAUCUGUCUCUUAUUAAUUUUUAUAGAAUUUUAUUUUUGAGUUAAAAAGCUUAAAUGAUUUUAAAAGACGAGAAGACCCUAUAGAGUUUAAUAUUUUUGUUAAAAGUUUUUGGUUUUAGGGAUUUAGAUUAAAUUUUUAAUUGAAUAUUUUGUUGGGGUGAUAGGAAGAUUGAAUAAACUCUUCUUUUAUUUUUACAUUAAUAGUUGAAUUUUUGAUCCAUUUUUUAUGAUUAUAAGAAUAAAUUACCUUAGGGAUAACAGCGUAAUCUUUUUUGAGAGUUCUUAUCGAAAGAGGGGGUUGCGACCUCGAUGUUGGAUUAAAGUUAAUUUUUGGUGUAGGAGCUAGAAUAUUGAGUCUGUUCGACUUUUAAAACUUUACAUGAUCUGAGU
This 526-nucleotide ribosomal RNA is filed under the name Graphelmis philemoni. RNAcentral's name for it is "partial 16S ribosomal RNA". It matches the Rfam family "Archaeal large subunit ribosomal RNA", at positions 1906 to 2679 of the family's 2987-position model. The record is from RNAcentral. Lineage: Eukaryota; Metazoa; Arthropoda; Insecta; Coleoptera; Elmidae.